AUGGCGAUGCUGAAGAAGGGCACUAGCGUCCUGUGUUUCGUGGCCAGCGUCAUGGUGGUCAUAGCUACCACCCUUCUUCUCUCCUCCUGCGAUGCCCACAAAGAGGCAGAUGAGACUGUUGUGUUUCCCUUGCCGGCGCCAUGCUACUCCAUCUCUUUCCCAAACUGUACUGAUGACAAGCGCAAGAAGUUUUGCGGCAGCGUAGGCAAGCGGCCAGCCCCCAAGGCAUUCUGCAAUGACAAUAAUAACUGCUGUUGUCCUGUCAUUCAACUUUUGUUUAUCCUGUGUGUAUCUCUUGUUCGUAUGAGCAUGGACCAGUGCAUGUUCGUUAAUGUUGUCUUGUUCCCAUUUAGCCCUGGAUGGGCUUCAUGCUUUUUAGGUGCAAAAGGUUUGGCAGUCCUACUUGCUGUAGUACUACCAGUACAGACUAGCAUGUCGUGUCAAGUUCUAGGCACUCUAGCUAGUACUGUUGUUCUCCGAGCCAACACGAUACCCCCCACAAAAGGGUUUGACAGGAGAACCCCAAGUAUAUAA
This 534-nucleotide ribosomal RNA is filed under the name Triticum aestivum (bread wheat). Its description in RNAcentral is "partial small subunit ribosomal RNA". Lineage: Eukaryota; Viridiplantae; Streptophyta; Magnoliopsida; Poales; Poaceae. The record is from RNAcentral.